This 109-nucleotide transfer RNA is filed under the name Archaeoglobus sulfaticallidus PM70-1. RNAcentral's name for it is "Archaeoglobus sp. PM70-1 tRNA". It matches the Rfam family "tRNA". From Rfam's summary of the family: Transfer RNA (tRNA) molecules are approximately 80 nucleotides in length. Their secondary structure includes four short double-helical elements and three loops (D, anti-codon, and T loops). Lineage: Archaea; Methanobacteriati; Methanobacteriota; Archaeoglobi; Archaeoglobales; Archaeoglobaceae. The record is from Rfam by way of RNAcentral.
GCCGGGGUUGCCGAGUGGUAAGGCGGUGGUCUGCUAACAGUGGGCAGAGUAAUUAAAGGUGGAUAACCACUGGGCUCUGCCCGCGUGGGUUCGAAUCCCACCCCCGGCG